UUGACCUCGGAUCAGGUAGGGAUACCCGCUGAACUUAAGCAUAUCAAUAAGCGGAGGAAAAGAAACCAACAGGGAUUGCCCUAGUAACGGCGAGUGAAGCGGCAACAGCUCAAAUUUGAAAUCUGGCUCUUUCAGAGUCCGAGUUGUAAUUUGCAGAGGGCGCUUUGGCUUUGGCAGCGGUCCAAGUUCCUUGGAACAGGACGUCACAGAGGGUGAGAAUCCCGUACGUGGUCGCUAGCUAUUGCCGUGUAAAGCCCCUUCGACGAGUCGAGUUGUUUGGGAAUGCAGCUCUAAAUGGGAGGUAAAUUUCUUCUAAAGCUAAAUAUUGGCCAGAGACCGAUAGCGCACAAGUAGAGUGAUCGAAAGAUGAAAAGCACUUUGGAAAGAGAGUCAAACAGCACGUGAAAUUGUUGAAAGGGAAGCGCUUGCAGCCAGACUUGCUUGCAGUUGCUCAUCCGGGCUUUUGCCCGGUGCACUCUUCUGUAGGCAGGCCAGCAUCAGUUUGGGCGGUGGGAUAAAGGUCUCUGUCACGUACCUCUCUUCGGGGAGGCCUUAUAGGGGAGACGACAUACCACCAGCCUAGACUGAGGUCCGC
Molecule: ribosomal RNA, 595 nt
Filed under: Bipolaris zeicola
Lineage: Eukaryota; Fungi; Ascomycota; Dothideomycetes; Pleosporales; Pleosporaceae
Description: eukaryotic LSU rRNA
Rfam family: Eukaryotic large subunit ribosomal RNA
Source: RNAcentral